RNAcentral lists this ribosomal RNA (2890 nucleotides) under Pseudomonas fluorescens. Its description in RNAcentral is "bacterial LSU rRNA". It matches the Rfam family "Bacterial large subunit ribosomal RNA". RNAcentral also lists the same sequence under 1 other name. The record is from RNAcentral. Lineage: Bacteria; Pseudomonadati; Pseudomonadota; Gammaproteobacteria; Pseudomonadales; Pseudomonadaceae.
UCAAGUGAAGAAGCGCAUACGGUGGAUGCCUUGGCAGUCAGAGGCGAUGAAAGACGUGGUAGCCUGCGAAAAGCUUCGGGGAGUCGGCAAACAGACUUUGAUCCGGAGAUGUCUGAAUGGGGGAACCCAGCCAUCAUAAGAUGGUUAUCUUGUACUGAAUACAUAGGUGCAAGAGGCGAACCAGGGGAACUGAAACAUCUAAGUACCCUGAGGAAAAGAAAUCAACCGAGAUUCCCUUAGUAGUGGCGAGCGAACGGGGACUAGCCCUUAAGUGGCUUUGAGAUUAGCGGAACGCUCUGGAAAGUGCGGCCAUAGUGGGUGAUAGCCCUGUACGCGAAAAUCUCUUAGUCAUGAAAUCGAGUAGGACGGAGCACGAGAAACUUUGUCUGAAUAUGGGGGGACCAUCCUCCAAGGCUAAAUACUACUGACUGACCGAUAGUGAACUAGUACCGUGAGGGAAAGGCGAAAAGAACCCCGGAGAGGGGAGUGAAAUAGAUCCUGAAACCGUAUGCGUACAAGCAGUGGGAGCCCACUUUGUUGGGUGACUGCGUACCUUUUGUAUAAUGGGUCAGCGACUUAUUUUCAGUGGCGAGCUUAACCGAAUAGGGGAGGCGUAGCGAAAGCGAGUCUUAAUAGGGCGUCUAGUCGCUGGGAAUAGACCCGAAACCGGGCGAUCUAUCCAUGGGCAGGUUGAAGGUUGGGUAACACUAACUGGAGGACCGAACCGACUACCGUUGAAAAGUUAGCGGAUGACCUGUGGAUCGGAGUGAAAGGCUAAUCAAGCUCGGAGAUAGCUGGUUCUCCUCGAAAGCUAUUUAGGUAGCGCCUCAUGUAUCACUGUAGGGGGUAGAGCACUGUUUCGGCUAGGGGGUCAUCCCGACUUACCAAACCGAUGCAAACUCCGAAUACCUACAAGUGCCGAGCAUGGGAGACACACGGCGGGUGCUAACGUCCGUCGUGAAAAGGGAAACAACCCAGACCGUCAGCUAAGGUCCCAAAGUUAUGGUUAAGUGGGAAACGAUGUGGGAAGGCUUAGACAGCUAGGAGGUUGGCUUAGAAGCAGCCACCCUUUAAAGAAAGCGUAAUAGCUCACUAGUCGAGUCGGCCUGCGCGGAAGAUGUAACGGGGCUCAAACCAUACACCGAAGCUACGGGUAUCACGUAAGUGAUGCGGUAGAGGAGCGUUCUGUAAGCCUGUGAAGGUGAGUUGAGAAGCUUGCUGGAGGUAUCAGAAGUGCGAAUGCUGACAUGAGUAACGACAAUGGGUGUGAAAAACACCCACGCCGAAAGACCAAGGUUUCCUGCGCAACGUUAAUCGACGCAGGGUUAGUCGGUCCCUAAGGCGAGGCUGAAAAGCGUAGUCGAUGGAAAACAGGUUAAUAUUCCUGUACUUCUGGUUAUUGCGAUGGAGGGACGGAGAAGGCUAGGCCAGCUUGGCGUUGGUUGUCCAAGUUUAAGGUGGUAGGCUGAGAUCUUAGGUAAAUCCGGGAUCUUAAGGCCGAGAGCUGAUGACGAGCUAACUUUUAGUUAGCGAAGUGGUUGAUGCCAUGCUUCCAAGAAAAGCUUCUAAGCUUCAGGUAACCAGGAACCGUACCCCAAACCGACACAGGUGGUUGGGUAGAGAAUACCAAGGCGCUUGAGAGAACUCGGGUGAAGGAACUAGGCAAAAUGGCACCGUAACUUCGGGAGAAGGUGCGCCGGUGAGGGUGAAGGACUUGCUCCGUAAGCUCAUGCCGGUCGAAGAUACCAGGCCGCUGCGACUGUUUAUUAAAAACACAGCACUCUGCAAACACGAAAGUGGACGUAUAGGGUGUGACGCCUGCCCGGUGCCGGAAGGUUAAUUGAUGGGGUUAGCUAACGCGAAGCUCUUGAUCGAAGCCCCGGUAAACGGCGGCCGUAACUAUAACGGUCCUAAGGUAGCGAAAUUCCUUGUCGGGUAAGUUCCGACCUGCACGAAUGGCGUAACGAUGGCGGCGCUGUCUCCACCCGAGACUCAGUGAAAUUGAAAUCGCUGUGAAGAUGCAGUGUAUCCGCGGCUAGACGGAAAGACCCCGUGAACCUUUACUAUAGCUUUGCACUGGACUUUGAAUUUGCUUGUGUAGGAUAGGUGGGAGGCUUUGAAGCGUGGACGCCAGUUCGCGUGGAGCCAUCCUUGAAAUACCACCCUGGCAACUUUGAGGUUCUAACUCAGGUCCGUUAUCCGGAUCGAGGACAGUGUAUGGUGGGUAGUUUGACUGGGGCGGUCUCCUCCUAAAGAGUAACGGAGGAGUACGAAGGUGCGCUCAGACCGGUCGGAAAUCGGUCGUAGAGUAUAAAGGCAAAAGCGCGCUUGACUGCGAGACAGACACGUCGAGCAGGUACGAAAGUAGGUCUUAGUGAUCCGGUGGUUCUGUAUGGAAGGGCCAUCGCUCAACGGAUAAAAGGUACUCCGGGGAUAACAGGCUGAUACCGCCCAAGAGUUCAUAUCGACGGCGGUGUUUGGCACCUCGAUGUCGGCUCAUCACAUCCUGGGGCUGAAGCCGGUCCCAAGGGUAUGGCUGUUCGCCAUUUAAAGUGGUACGCGAGCUGGGUUUAGAACGUCGUGAGACAGUUCGGUCCCUAUCUGCCGUGGACGUUUGAGAUUUGAGAGGGGCUGCUCCUAGUACGAGAGGACCGGAGUGGACGAACCUCUGGUGUUCCGGUUGUCACGCCAGUGGCAUUGCCGGGUAGCUAUGUUCGGAAUAGAUAACCGCUGAAAGCAUCUAAGCGGGAAACUAGCCUCAAGAUGAGAUCUCACUGGAACCUUGAGUUCCCUGAAGGGCCGUCGAAGACUACGACGUUGAUAGGUUGGGUGUGUAAGCGCUGUGAGGCGUUGAGCUAACCAAUACUAAUUGCCCGUGAGGCUUGACCAU